This 450-nucleotide ribosomal RNA is filed under the name uncultured bacterium. Its description in RNAcentral is "partial 16S ribosomal RNA". It matches the Rfam family "Bacterial small subunit ribosomal RNA", at positions 354 to 796 of the family's 1533-position model. The record is from RNAcentral.
GUGGGGAAUAUUGGACAAUGGGCGAAAGCCUGAUCCAGCAAUGCCGCGUGCAGGAAGAAGGCCUUCGGGUUGUAAACUGCUUUUGUACGGAACGAAACGGUCCGGGUUAAUACCCUGGGCUAAUGACGGUACCGUAAGAAUAAGCACCGGCUAACUACGUGCCAGCAGCCGCGGUAAUACGUAGGGUGCAAGCGUUAAUCGGAAUUACUGGGCGUAAAGCGUGCGCAGGCGGUUUUGUAAGACAGGCGUGAAAUCCCCGGGCUCAACCUGGGAAUUGCGAUUGUGACUGCAAGGCUGGAGUGCGGCAGAGGGGGAUGGAAUUCCGCGUGUAGCAGUGAAAUGCGUAGAUAUGCGGAGGAACACCGAUGGCGAAGGCAAUCCCCUGGGCCUGCACUGACGCUCAUGCACGAAAGCGUGGGGAGCAAACAGGAUUAGAAACCCGUGUAGUCC